This is a long non-coding RNA of Penaeus monodon (black tiger shrimp), 682 nucleotides long. RefSeq lists it as uncharacterized. The transcript is spliced from 2 exons. The record is from RefSeq and is a predicted model, not a curated record. Lineage: Eukaryota; Metazoa; Arthropoda; Malacostraca; Decapoda; Penaeidae.
UAUAUAUGGACACCCUUUUACAGGCUGAUCCCAGUAAGCCAGUUCUUGUGGCAGGAGACCCAGAACGAAACCAUGUUGAAAAGUGAAGAAAGAAGGAGGAAUCACUUAUCAUAUGAACCAGAUCAAGGAUUCAUGGAAGCUGGGAAAAGCUUUAGGAGUGACACCAAUGAAGGCUUUGUAAUAAGUAAAUGAAUAAAUUGAUAAUCAAAAACACAUUAGAAUACAUUUAUGGAGCAAAGUUAUCUUCCUUUGAUAUACUUUCACAGUAGUUCUUAUUUUUUUUCUUAUUUUUUUAUUUCUUUCUUUUUGAGGGUGCAAGAGUAAAAAGAUUGCUUUCUUUUGAAUUUCUGUUUUCAUUUGGUUGAGUUACUGAUAUCUUAGGCUGUUCUGUAUACAGUAUGGUGUGAAUAUUUUUUGUGCUGAUUUUAUAAAUGGAAAUUAGUUAUUGCUAUUAUGUUCUGAAAGUACUGAAUGUUACAGAUUAAGCAUUUCUGAAGAUCAGAUAGUCACCUUGGUCCAACAUGGUACAAAUGACAUAAGUCAGUUUAGUCUGUAUAUAAUCAUAUCAGUGAUGGUUCAUGUCUUGGUAGAAUAGAUUGACUUAAUGACCUGGUACAUUUAGUUUCAUUGCAAAGGUUGUAUAUGUUUUUGUCCAUAUUUGUCAGAAAAAUGUUUUUCAGUG